This is a long non-coding RNA of Neofelis nebulosa (Clouded leopard), 4724 nucleotides long. RefSeq lists it as uncharacterized. The transcript has 4 exons. NCBI's taxonomy places the organism in Eukaryota, Metazoa, Chordata, Mammalia, Carnivora, Felidae. The record is from RefSeq and is a predicted model, not a curated record.
GGUCGUUUGUGGCCACCGAGCCUCCCUGGGGAAACUGCUGGAGAGCGGCACGCCCUCGUGCGUGUCUUUCCAAGCCCGAGCUCGCCAUGCUGGUACCUGGAACCGGGCCACGGUGACAAGCGUGGAUGCUGCGGGGACCAGCAAACACAGCUUGGUGCUCUCCAGCUGCUGUCAGACCCUGUCCCGCACACAGGCUGCACACGUGUGGCUCUGCGGGCGCUCGCACGGGGCGCAACAGGCCCGUGGACCCCUAGAAACGUGAAGCUGCUGGGACACGGCCGGAGAGGGCCACCCGUGGAGACACUCACACACCGGUUGCCAGGCUCUGAGUCUUGUCUUGGCUGAGAUCGCAGAAGAGGGGAUCAGCUGUGCCCACCCCCCAGUGUGAGCCAUGAAGGGCUGUUGGGAAUAUUAAGGGAACACCGACUGUGCACCUGCGCCAUUUGGAACUGGGACUCCAGCAGGGGAUGAAGCUCACAGACGUCCCUGUUUGGGGUGGCCUUUUCAAGUGGCAGGGGAUCGAAAAUAAAAAUAAAGACCGGAAGGAGGUAAAGGAGUGAGGUGUGGGCAUAUCAAGGGGAAGAGCAGUUUGGACAGAUGGAACAGCAGGUGCAAAGGUCCUGGGGUAGUACCCCGCCUGGCAUGUUGGAGGAGCAGGGAGGAGGCCCCUGUAGCUGGAGCAGAGUGAGUGAGGGGCAGAAUGGGAGAGGGCGAGGACAAGGAGGGGACAGGAUGGGGUCCUGCACAAUCUCGUGUGCCUUGAGAUGAGUUGGGCUUUUACCAGGAGGGAGGUGGGCGCCCGGGACGGCUGUGGGCAGGAGGGAGGGGCCUGACUCCCCUUUGGAGGACACUGGGGGGAGGACAGAUGGUAGGGGUGCGGGUGGGAGCAGGGGGGCCAGGGGAAGGGGCGGGAGAUGAGGGGGCUGACCAGAUGAGGCAGCGGGAGGAGGGAAGGCGGUUGAAUUCGGGGUAUAUUUUGCAGACCGGGCACGUGGUGAGAUUUGAGAUUGGGUGGAGUGGGAGACUGGACAGACUGUGUGGCGAGAGAAAGCUUGUGGGUGAGGAUGCCCCGAGGGUGUUGGAGAAGAUGGAGACGUGGAGGGGUCGCGGGGGGAGGGGAGGGGCAGGUCAGACGCGGGGUGUCACCGCCUGUGUGGGGGAGAUGGCUGGAGCUGCAGUUCCAGGGAGGGACCUGGAGGUGCCCCCCGGGGAAGCACCAGCUCCCGUGAGUCCUCCUGGCUUCUUCGAAUUACUUUGGGGGUAAACGCCUUGUGGGGAAGGUGUGGGGGGAAGGGGAGGGGGGGCGCAAAUGUGUGUGUGCCCCUGAGCUCGAGUGCCGGUGUCUGUGGAGGGCUCACUCUGAGGCCACCUUUUCUGACUCCCUAGGCCGAGUUUGAGUCCCCACCCCCGCCCCACGCCCCCACGCUGGUGUCCCUCCCCCGCCAGCCUCUUGUUCUCCCUCGGGUCUGUGUCAGCAGCUGUCGGGGUUUGAGGAGCUGGUGUUCCCUCUGGCGUGUGGGGGGGGAAGGCAGAGAGAGAGGCAGGGAGAGUGACCCCCAGACACGGGGCUCGAGCUCGCGAACAGCGAGGUCAUGACCUGAGCCGAAAUCAAGAGCUGGACGCUUAACCGACGGAGCCACCCAGGCGCCCCCCCCCCCCCCACCCCCGGCUGGCUGUUAGUAGCUCCCGUGGGAUCCCCGGAGCUGAGCACAGAGCCCCCCACGUGCGCGAGGUGCUCCGUAGACAUCGGCGGACACGGGGCUAAGUGUGUGCGGCGCUGGGGGCCGGGGAUACAGGCGGGAGCACCCGAGGAUACCGAAGACAGAGGACGCACAGCCACUGCGUGUGGGGGUCGACCACAUCUCCGUGUGCGUCACACGUGUGCGCCCGCGGGCUGAGCGUGGCCGUGAGUGUUCCUGCAGCUAAGUGUGCACGUCCGCGUGAAUCCCUGUGUGCCCUGAGCACACCUCUGCUUGCCGUCCCGCACGGGUAUGCCUGUGCACACGUGGCUCUCUGGGUGUGUCUGCCCAGGGGGCACACGCGCGUGCCUGCACGGGUGUGUUAGAGCAUAUCCGUGACUGCGGGAUCCCGCGGGUGUCCACGUGUACCCGGGCUUGUCUGUGUGUGUGUUUGCAGGGGUGUAUUUGAAUGCCUUCUUGCCUGUGUGCUAGAGACGUGCAAACGUGUGCUUGAACACGUGUGCGCAGGUGCCCAUAUGAAUACACGCGUGUCCCCCACCUGCUAAUGUACGUACCACACGGGUGUGUCCAAGGGGGUCCACGCAUGGUGCUGAGAUGCCUUCAGACCGGGCUAGGCCUGAUCCCAGGAUAUCCUGACGCCCAGCACUGCUCUAUGUCAGACCCAGAGAACAGCUUGCCCCACGGAGACUCCCUUCUCCUCCUAGCCUUGACCCCAGCCCCUCUAGCCUCCCCCCCUCAAGCCAAAUGUGCCUUCAAAGAACCAGGAUUCAGUGGAGGAAAUUCCUUCUGGCAGCUUCUGGGCCUCUGGGCCAUUCCCAGGGAGGAAUCCAGAACUGUCUGGAGUGGCUCCCAGGGACAGGAGCUGGGACCGCGCGUGGACAGGGGCUGGGACCGCACAUGCUGGGUUGUUCGGAGGCUGGUUCUGCCAGCUGGACCCAGCUCUGUGCCUCCCCUGCCAAGUCCAGAGACAGAACUGGAUGAUGAACCUGCUCUAUUGGCCAGCUGGUGUGUACCCGGCAGUGCGUCUGGGAGAUAAUGGCACCAAAUUGUCAGCGUGCCUUGAGGGGCACUAUCGAUCGGGCCCCGUUUUCUGAGCUAGAGGGACGCAGAGGGGCAGGACGGACCCCAGGCCUGGGUGACUCUACCCCUGUGGCUCUGAAAUGAGGGGCAGUCCCCCCGCCCUACGCCCGCCAGGGAACAUCUGUCAGUGUCUGAAGCUAUUUUUGUUUGCCACACCAGCCAGGGGGAUGCGCUUCUGUUAUCCAGUGUGUGGAUAUCAGCACUACAUCCUACAAGGCACAGAAGGCCCCCCGCCCCCCUGCAAAGGAGGCUACGACCCCAAAUGUCGACAGAGAGGAGGCUGAGAAACUCUUGCGAAGCUUUUUGAGAGCGUCAUGGGAAGCAGAUAGGAUCCUGAAGCAUCUGGACGUUUAGAGACAUAAAAGGUGUCUCAGGUGCAAAAACACCUGACAGAUGCUUCAGAACAUCAGAACGGAUGACUAGCCGGGAGCCCAUGAAAAGCUGCUCAGUGUCGUUUCUCAUCAGGAAAACGCAAAUCGGGACCACCGCGAGACACCCGACUGCACGCCCGCCAGAAUGGCCGAAAUGGAAAAUUCAAACAAUACCAAGUGGAGCCACUGGAACUCUCUGCUGUUGCCAGUGGGAUGUCACAUGGUCCAGCCACGCUCUGUGAGUCAAACCAGGGCGGGAAGUCGCGUGAGCAGCCCAGGUUCCAGGCCGGAGCUGAUCGAGCAGAGGAUCGCUUUCCAGGCUUAAGACCAGGGGGCCUGGGGCUCAUGGUGCUUCCCACGGGAAGAAGGACCCUAGUUCAAAUGAUUCAGGAUUUUCUGUCCCUGGUGGGUACAAACAUCCAGUAUAAUGUCAGUGGCUUUGGCUUCUUGGGAACCCUGCACUGAGCAUAGCUACUGUGUAAAAAAAAGGAGUCCUUGGGGCACCUGGGGGGCUCAGUCGGUUGGGCGUCCGACUUUGGCUCCGGUCAUGAUCUCACGGUUCGUGAGUUUGAGCCCCGCGUCGGGCUCUGUGCUGACAGCUCGGAGCCUGGAGCCUGCUUCGGAUUCUGUGUCUCCUUCUCUCUCUGCCCCUGCCCUGCCUGUGCUCUCUCUCUCUCUCAAACAUAAAUAAACCUUAAAAAAUAUUAAAAAAAAAAAAAAAAAAAAAGGAGUCCUUGGCAUCUGACAGGGGUUACUUGGUGCCGAAUCUCCAGGCCUGUUCCCAGCAGGUGGGUGUGGGUGACGGCAGGGCCGUGUCUGAGGACCCAAGGAGGAUGACGCACAGACAGGUCAGGGCCUUCCUGAGCGAGGCCCUGCCGAGGUUCCCACGGCCCACACUUGUACCGCGGCCAGGUCUGAAGGCCAGGGCACAUCCGGAAGUUCAGCCUCCGGGGCAACAAAGGCGCCCCAACCCCCGCUCUUUGCAGCCAUCAUAACAAUUAUUACAUUUAUUGAGCAUGGGCCGGGCCCAGGUGCUGAGAUGCUACAAAUGCCGUUUUAUAUCCUCCUUCCAAGAAAUGGGCUCCUGUCUGCAGGAGGGCUCACCGCCCUCCCGCCCCACAGGCUGUCUUUCUGGUCUUCCGACAGACUGCUCACACCUCAGGGCCUUUGCACUUGCUGUUGCUUCUGCCUGGUGUCUCUUCCCUCCGAGACCUUCACGGUGGGGACCUUCUCAUUCUCCAGGCCUUGGAUCAAAUGUUAUCUCCUCUCUGAAGUGGAACCCCCUCCCCCCCCCCCCAUACCCUCACUAUUCCAUCCCUUGGCUCCAUUUUUUUUUAUUACAUUCAUGACACUCUUUUGAGUUUAUUCGUUGUUUCUGUUUCCCCAUCUCCCCACUGGCAUGGGAUGUGAUAUUUUGCCAAACUUACAGGCAAGUAAUGCAGCUCAUUUGAAUUUAUAAACUUCUGAUACCCAAAAAGGUGAAUUUUUCAUGGGUCUCUCGGCCUUGUGUUUUUCAUAUUUCUGAUAUUGAUUUCUAGGAUUCCCUUCUUCUUUCCUUCCUUCCUUCCUUCCA